This 274-nucleotide ribosomal RNA is filed under the name uncultured bacterium. Its description in RNAcentral is "partial 16S ribosomal RNA". It matches the Rfam family "Bacterial small subunit ribosomal RNA", at positions 81 to 353 of the family's 1533-position model. The record is from RNAcentral.
AAGUUUGAUGGCGACCGGCGCACGGGUGAGUAACACGUAUCCAACCUGCCGAUGACUCGGGGAUAGCCUUUCGAAAGAAAGAUUAAUACCCGAUGGCAUAGUUCUUCCGCAUGGUAGAACUAUUAAAGAAUUUCGGUCAUCGAUGGGGAUGCGUUCCAUUAGGUUGUUGGCGGGGUAACGGCCCACCAAGCCUUCGAUGGAUAGGGGUUCUGAGAGGAAGGUCCCCCCACAUUGGAACUGAGACACGGUCCAAACUCCUACGGGAGGCAGCAUG